UACGAAGGGUGCAAGCGUUACCCGGAAUUACUGGGCGUAAAGCGUGCGUAGGUGGUUCGUUAAGUCUGCCGUGAAAGCCCCGGGCUCAACCUGGGAAUGGCGGUGGAUACUGGCGGACUAGAGUGCGGUAGAGGGUGGUGGAAUUCCCGGUGUAGCAGUGAAAUGCGUAGAGAUCGGGAGGAACAUCUGUGGCGAAGGCGGCCACCUGGACCAGCACUGACACUGAGGCACGAAAGCGUGGGGAGCAAACAGG
This 253-nucleotide ribosomal RNA is filed under the name uncultured bacterium. RNAcentral describes it as "partial 16S ribosomal RNA". It matches the Rfam family "Bacterial small subunit ribosomal RNA", at positions 524 to 776 of the family's 1533-position model. The record is from RNAcentral.